UUGACGGGGAGCACCACAACGGGUGGAGCUUGCGGUUUAAUUGGAUUCAACGCCGGAAAUCUUACCGGGACCGACAGCAAUAUGAAGGCCAGGCUGAAGACUUUGCCGGAUUAGCUGAGAGGUGGUGCAUGGCCGUCGUCAGUUCGUACUGUGAAGCAUCCUGUUAAGUCAGGCAACGAGCGAGACCCACGCCCACAGUUGCCAGCGUACUCUCUGGAGUGACGGGUACACUGUGGGGACCGCCGCUGCUAAAGCGGAGGAAGGAAUGGGCAACGGUGGGUCAGUAUGCCCCGAAUAUCCCGGGCUACACGCGAGCUACAAUGGUUGGUACAAUGGGUAUCUACCCCGAAAGGGGACGGGAAUCUCCUAAAACCAAUCUUAGUUCGGAUUGAGGGCUGCAACUCGCCCUCAUGAAGCUGGAAUCCGUAGUAAUCGCGUUUCAACAGAACGCGGUGAAUACGUCCCUGCUCCUU
RNAcentral lists this ribosomal RNA (473 nucleotides) under uncultured Methanosaeta sp. RNAcentral's name for it is "bacterial SSU rRNA". It matches the Rfam family "Archaeal small subunit ribosomal RNA", at positions 871 to 1337 of the family's 1478-position model. The record is from RNAcentral. Lineage: Archaea; Methanobacteriati; Methanobacteriota; Methanomicrobia; Methanotrichales; Methanotrichaceae.